RNAcentral lists this ribosomal RNA (253 nucleotides) under uncultured bacterium. Its description in RNAcentral is "partial 16S ribosomal RNA". It matches the Rfam family "Bacterial small subunit ribosomal RNA", at positions 524 to 776 of the family's 1533-position model. The record is from RNAcentral.
UACGGAGGGUGCAAGCGUUAAUCGGAAUUACUGGGCGUAAAGCGCACGCAGGUGGCUGAGUCAGUCGAUUGUGAAAGCCCUGGGCUUAACCUGGGAAUUGCAGUCGAUACUACUUAGCUAGAGUAUGGGAGAGGGCGGUGGAAUUCCCGGUGUAGCGGUGAAAUGCGUAGAUAUCGGGAAGAACACCCGUGGCGAAGGCGGUUCUCUGGGCCAUUACUGACGCUGAGGAGCGAAAGCGUGGGGAGCGAACAGG